CUUUUCAGUUUGAGUUCAGUAAAUUGAUCAAAGGGAAAGGACCAGCUGGAAUGAGUUCUGUCCAAGGACAAAGCUCUCAAUACAUAGCAGGAUUUAUAGGUAAUUCCCACUCUAUUAAUGUUCCUGCUGCUAAAGUUUAUGAUAUUAGUUCUUGGAUAAAGCUCUCAUCACAAGUAUUGCACCUACAAUCGCAGAAGCUGUUGAGAUUAUAAUCUUCAAUAGUAAAAUCCAUCCCCUAUUUGACUGCUGAAGCUCAUUACAUGGAGGUAGCCUCAAAUCAGGGAUACCGCCAAGCAACCUUGCUAAAUCAUUACCCUCCCCUUUAAGCUCAAUAACUUUCAUAUACAAACUAACCAUUUUUCUGCUAAGCUUUGAUCUGCGAACAGCAUAGCAUUUUCUGAUGUGUUCAUAUUUUUCAAGGCAGGAUUUUGCUUUCUCCUCAACCUCAUGCACGUGGAUACUCCAUCUGUUAUAGAUUUCCCCGUAGUUUUCUCGCCGUCUACGGAUCGUACGUUCAAUACC
RNAcentral lists this long non-coding RNA (522 nucleotides) under Manihot esculenta (cassava). RNAcentral describes it as "long non-coding RNA (MESC_LNC003791)". The record is from RNAcentral. Lineage: Eukaryota; Viridiplantae; Streptophyta; Magnoliopsida; Malpighiales; Euphorbiaceae.